UAAUGCCCGCUUGUUUCGGGUGUCCCGGCAGUGCGUCGCCGGGAUGAAACGGGAAGCCGGUGCGUCGCGCGUUCGCGCGCAACCAGUCCGGCGCUGCCCCCGCAACGGUAGGCGAGUGAAUCGCCGGGCCACACAAGCCACUGUGCCUAGGCAUGGGAAGGCGUGGUCCGGAACAUGCGGCUCCCCGCAUGUCGCUCGCAAGCCCGGAGACCGGCCCGAUUCGACUGUCCUGG
Molecule: non-coding RNA, 233 nt
Filed under: Rhodanobacter spathiphylli
Lineage: Bacteria; Pseudomonadati; Pseudomonadota; Gammaproteobacteria; Lysobacterales; Rhodanobacteraceae
Source: RNAcentral